GACGAACGCUGGCGGCGUGCUUAACACAUGCAAGUCGAACGGAAGGGCCCUGCUUUUGUGGGGUGCUCGAGUGGCGAACGGGUGAGUAACACGUGAGUAACCUGCCCUUGACUUUGGGAUAACUUCAGGAAACUGGGGCUAAUACCGGAUAGGAGCUCCUGCUGCAUGGUGGGGGUUGGAAAGUUUCGGCGGUUGGGGAUGGACUCGCGGCUUAUCAGCUUGUUGGUGGGGUAGUGGCUUACCAAGGCUUUGACGGGUAGCCGGCCUGGGAGGGUGACCGGCCACAUUGGGACGGAGAUACGGCCCAGGCUCCUACGGGAGGCAGCAGUGGGGAAUAUUGCACAAUGGGCGGAAGCCUGAUGCAGCAACGCCGCGUGCGGGAUGACGGCCUUCGGGUUGUAAACCGCUUUCGCCUGUGACGAAGCGUGAGUGACGGUAAUGGGUAAAGAAGCACCGGCUAACUACGG
Molecule: ribosomal RNA, 467 nt
Filed under: uncultured bacterium
Lineage: Bacteria
Description: partial 16S ribosomal RNA
Rfam family: Bacterial small subunit ribosomal RNA
Source: RNAcentral